GAUGAACGCUGGCGGCAGGCUUAAUACAUGCAAGUCGAGGGAAAGCACCAGAGAUUGCUUUUUUUGCUUUGACGGCGGCCGGGGCAAGUACCAGUUGCUCAUCUUCCCUAUACGCAUGGCUUAACUCCGGCAAACCGAAGCUAAUACCGAUAAUCAAUUUUAUCCCCCGGAUUCAUAGGUAAAGGAGGAUCUUUUUAUCCGUUAUGGAUGGAUCCGCGCUGCAUUAGCUAGUUGGUAAGGUAACGGCUUACCAAGGCAACGAUGCGUAGCCGACCUGAGAGGGUGAUCGGCCACACUGGAACUGAGACACGGUCCAGACUCCUACGGGAGGCAGCAGUAGGGAAUCUUCCGCAAAGGGCGAAAGCCUGACGGAGCAACGCCGCGUGAGUGAUGAAGGUCUUCGGAUCGUAAAACUCUGUUAUUAGGGAAGAACAAAUGUGUAAGUAACUGUGCACAUCUUGACGGUACCUAAUCAGAAAGCCACGGCUAACUACGUG
Molecule: ribosomal RNA, 497 nt
Filed under: uncultured bacterium
Lineage: Bacteria
Description: partial 16S ribosomal RNA
Rfam family: Bacterial small subunit ribosomal RNA
Source: RNAcentral